AUGGAAGUGAGAAGGAACACUAACUGUGGUGUUUACUCAUUUGGUACUAGAGGUGGAUAUUGCAGCGUAGUUGAUGGAGUCACUGCUACAAGGGACGAUGGUUCAGGUAGAGGUAAAGGAUGUGGUAGUGGUACUGCAAAAUCAUGGCAGCGAGAAGGGGAUUGGCUGUGUCCAAAUACAAGAUGUCAGAAUGUAAAUUUUGCAUUCCGAGGUGUCUGUAAUCGCUGUCGGGUAGCACGCCCUGCUGAUGUUAGUGCAAUGGGGACAACUAAAAAUGGUGAAAAAUCUCAGACUCUUACUGUCCAAAUGACUACCGAUGAGUUGAAGAAGUGGCUUCAGUUCAAGGAAGGAACCAUUGAUGAAAGGUCAACAACCAAGAUAUUUGCUACAUCUGCUAACCCCUGUGGUGAUACUUCGAAAUUUGUGAAAGGAAGUUAUUUUGAGGCUGGUACACAGUGGUUAAUAGACUCUGGUGCGUCUAAACAUAUGGCCGGUUCGUAUAAGGAUUUCUGCAGUUAUACUCCUGAUUUUACAGGGCAAAAUGUUAGACUUGCUGAUGGUUCUGGCCAGAGUAUUAGGGGGGUAGGAACAGUUAAAUGUUGCCCAGAUAUGACUCUAUCAUCUGUUUUACAUGUUCCCUCAUUCCCAAUCAAUUUGCUAUCCAUCAGCUGCAUUACAAGAGAACUCAAUUGUGCUGUAAUCUUCUUCCCAACAUGGUGUUUAUUUCUGGAACUUGGGACAGGAAAAAAGCUUGGAUCAGGAAUUACGCGAGAUGGUCUAUACUAUCUAGAUGAUGAUAUGGCACCUGAUAUGGCACCUGUGGCUGCUAUUGUUCUGUCUCAGUCAUCAUUGCAAGAAUUUCUUCUUCAUCAUCGCAGGCUGGGACACAUGUCCUUUAACACCCUGGGUCAGUUGUAUCCUAACCUAUAUAAUAAAAUUUGCAAGGAAAGUCUAGUAUGUGACGCCUGCCAGUACGGGAAGCUAACCCGUAGUAUAUAUAUUUCAUCUGAUCACAGAAGUACAGUGCCAUUUCAAACUAUCCACUCAGAUGUAUGGGGUCCUAGUGGGGUGUGGUCACUUUAUGGAUACAAAUCAUUUGUUACAUUCAUCGACUGUUGCACUAGGACUACUUGGGUUUAUGUAUUGAGAAAUAAAAGUGAUGUGUUUGAAUGCUUUAGGGAUUUCCACAACCUAAUCAUAAAUCAAUAUGAUGCACGGGUGAAAAUAUUCCGAACUGACAAUGGUACAGAAUAUGUAAAUAACCAAUUUGAUGAGUACCUGUCAAGCUUUGGAAUUAUCCAUCAAACUAGUUGCCCAGGCACCUCCCAGCAAAAUGGUCUGGCGGAGAGGAAGAAUAGACAUCUUUUGGAAAUCACACGGUGUAUAAUGUUGGCUAUGAAUGUACCUAAAUAUUUGUGGAGUGAGGCUGUGAUGACAGCUGCAUAUUUAAUGAAUAGAAUGCCAUCUCGGGUGCUUAACAACAAGACACCAAUCGAGUGUUUAACGGGUAAGACUACAUAUGUGGUGCCACCAAAGGUGUUUGGAUGUGUUUGCUUUGUGAGGGAUCAUAGACCAUCAGUUGGGAAGCUUGACCCUAGAGCAGUGAAAUGUAUAUUUGUGGGAUACUCUGGAAAACAGAAGGGUUAUAAAUGUUGGUGCCCAUCUGAAAAGCGGAUGUUUGUGAGCAUGGAUGUAGUGUUCAGGGAGCAUGAACCUUUCUAUGGGGAACCAGUAGAUUUAACUGAUGUCUUUCCUGAUUUAUAUGUUAAUGAUGCUACAGAUCUGGACAACGAGACAGGAGAAGAUAAAGGUGAAGAAUAUAAUGAAGCAACAUCCAGGAAUAUGAUUGUUGGAGUGAUUCCAGCUGCAGAUAUGUAUAACGGUGAAGAUGAAGGUACAUCAGGAGCUGAACAGGAACAGACGCAGGGGGAGCUACGAGAUGAAUCAAAUGAAGCUGUUAAGUGGCCAAAACCAAAUGAAGAACAAGAAGUUCAGGUGUAUAAAAGGAGACACCGAUCUGAGAAGGAAGUUAUCCCAUCUAGGUGUGAUCAUGAAGCUCAAGAAACUCCUGCAGUACAAACACAAGAAACCUUGCCAAGUGUGACACAAUCAGAUGUGCAUGAGUCAUCUCCACAAGUCGAUGGUACGCUUCCCUUACUAUUGGAUGAGUUAGAUAUUCCUAUCGCUCGCAGAAAGCAGCCACGUUCCACUGCAGGGAAAUUACCACCAAAUCUAUCUCAAUAUGAUGUUUCUAAUUAUGUCUCAUAUGUAUCAUUGGGCUCCCAAUAUAAAUCAUUUAUAGCUGCACUCGAUUCCACUCUACNNNNNNNNNNUAUACCACGUGAUUGGCAGGAGGCGAAACAAUAUCCGGAGUGGAAAGCUGCUAUGAUAGAGGAGAUGACAGCACUUGAUAAAAAUAAUACUUGGGUACUCACUACUCUUCCUCCUAACAAAAGGGCUGUUGGUUGUAAAUGGGUAUUUACUGUAAAACAAAAUUCAGAGGGAAAAGUAGAAAGAUAUAAAGCCAGGUUAGUGGCAAAGGGGUAUAGUCAAACUUAUGGAGUGGACUAUGAUGAGACCUUCGCACCAGUGGCGAAAAUGAACACCAUUAGGGCCCUCAUAUCUAUAGCUGCAAAUAAUAAGUGGAAGUUAUUUCAAAUGGAUGUUAAAAAUGCUUUUCUUCAUGGAGAUUUGAAAGAAGAGGUUUAUAUGGAGAUUCCCCCUGGGUUUGGUACACAAGAAACAGAGGGUAAAGUGUGUAGGCUGAAAAGGUCUCUAUAUGGUUUGAAACAGUCACCUAGAGCAUGGUUUGGACGACUUAGAAAGGAGAUAUGCUCUAUGGGUUAUCGACAAAGCAAUGCAGAUCACACCCUUUUCUUUAAGUACCAGAGUGGCAAGAUUGUUAUCCUUAUUGUGUAUGUUGAUGAUAUUGUGAUCACAGGUAAUGAUGAUGAUGGCAUAGCAUCCCUAAAGAAGAUGUUGGCCAGGUCAUUUGAAGUUAAGGAUCUAGGUUUUCUUCAUUAUUUCCUGGGAAUUGAGGUUGUAUAUGGAUCACAAGGUAUUUACUUAUCACAAAGAAAAUAUGUACUUGAUUUACUCGCGGAAACUGGCAUGCAAAAUUGUAGACCAGCGACAACUCCAAUUGAGCAGAACCAUCGUAUUCUAGCAGAUUCUGGUGAUCCUGUGGACAAACAUCAAUAUCAAAGAUUAGCCAUUAAAACCAGUGUGUAA
This 3231-nucleotide ribosomal RNA is filed under the name Triticum aestivum (bread wheat). RNAcentral describes it as "partial small subunit ribosomal RNA". The record is from RNAcentral. Lineage: Eukaryota; Viridiplantae; Streptophyta; Magnoliopsida; Poales; Poaceae.